AUACUUACCUGGCACGGGAGAUACCGUGAUCACGAAGGCGGUUCUCCUAAGGCGAGGCUUCAUUUGCCUGGGGGUGUCGCUGACCCUUGCGAUUAACCCAAAUGUGGUUAACUCGAGUGCGCAAUUUUUGUAAGCGGGGGACUCCGUUCGCGCUAUCCCCCU
This 162-nucleotide small nuclear RNA is filed under the name Penaeus monodon (black tiger shrimp). Its description in RNAcentral is "U1 spliceosomal RNA". It matches the Rfam family "U1 spliceosomal RNA". Rfam says of the family: U1 is a small nuclear RNA (snRNA) component of the spliceosome (involved in pre-mRNA splicing). Its 5' end forms complementary base pairs with the 5' splice junction, thus defining the 5' donor site of an intron. Lineage: Eukaryota; Metazoa; Arthropoda; Malacostraca; Decapoda; Penaeidae. The record is from RNAcentral.